RNAcentral lists this ribosomal RNA (253 nucleotides) under uncultured bacterium. RNAcentral's name for it is "partial 16S ribosomal RNA". It matches the Rfam family "Bacterial small subunit ribosomal RNA", at positions 524 to 776 of the family's 1533-position model. The record is from RNAcentral.
GACGUAGGGUGCGAGCGUUGUCCGGAUUUAUUGGGCGUAGAGAGCUCGUAGGCGGCUCGUCGCGUCGACCGUGAAAACUUGGGGCUUAACCCUAAGCUUGCGGUUGAUACGGGCGGGCUAGAGUUCGGUAGGGGAGUCUGGAAUUCCUGGUGUAGCGGUGAAAUGCGCAGAUAUCAGGAGGAACACCGGUGGCGAAGGCGGGACUCUGGGCCGAUACUGACGCUGAGGAGCGAAAGCGUGGGGAGCAAACAGG